Molecule: transfer RNA, 76 nt
Filed under: Candidatus Atribacteria bacterium
Lineage: Bacteria; Pseudomonadati; Atribacterota; Atribacteria
Also listed under: 2 other names
Description: tRNA-Thr
Rfam family: tRNA
About the family: Transfer RNA (tRNA) molecules are approximately 80 nucleotides in length.
Source: RNAcentral
GCCGGCGUAGCUCAAUUGGCAGAGCAACGGAAUCGUAAUCCGUAGGUUGUCUGUUCAACUCAGAUCGCCGGCUCCA